Non-coding RNA from Acanthosepion pharaonis, 108 nucleotides. NCBI's taxonomy places the organism in Eukaryota, Metazoa, Mollusca, Cephalopoda, Sepiida, Sepiidae. The record is from the annotation of a GenBank genome assembly.
CCACAUCACAUUGAAACACUGGUUUCCAUCUGAUUACCAAUGUUAAGCAACAUCAAGCCUUAUCAGUAUCUAGAUAAGUGACCACUUGGGAAUACCAGGUGCUGUAAG